This 730-nucleotide ribosomal RNA is filed under the name uncultured bacterium. Its description in RNAcentral is "bacterial SSU rRNA". It matches the Rfam family "Bacterial small subunit ribosomal RNA", at positions 28 to 776 of the family's 1533-position model. The record is from RNAcentral.
GAUGAACGCUGACAGAAUGCUUAACACAUGCAAGUCGACUUGAAGCAACUUCGGUUGUGGAAGGUGGCGGACGGGUGAGUAACGCGUAAAGAACUUGCCCUUCAGUCUGGGACAACCAUUGGAAACGAUGGCUAAUACCGGAUAUUAUGGAACUCUCGCAUGGGAGGAUCAUGAAAGCUAUAUGCGCUGAAGGAGAGCUUUGCGUUCCAUUAGCUAGUUGGUGAGGUAACGGCUCACCAAGGCGACGAUGGAUAGCCGGCCUGAGAGGGUGAUCGGCCACAAGGGGACUGAGACACGGCCCUUACUCCUACGGGAGGCAGCAGUGGGGAAUAUUGGACAAUGGACCAAAAGUCUGAUCCAGCAAUUCUGUGUGCACGAUGAAGGUUUUCGGAUCGUAAAGUGCUUUCAGUUGGGAAGAAGAAAGUGACGGUACCAACAGAAGAAGCGACGGCUAAAUACGUGCCAGCAGCCGCGGUAAUACGUAUGUCGCAAGCGUUAUCCGGAUUUAUUGGGCGUAAAGCGCGUCUAGGCGGGUUCAUAAGUCUGAUGUUAAAAUGCGGGGCUCAACUCCGUAUUGCGUUGGAAACUGUGAACCUAGAGUAUCAGAGAGGUGGGCGGAACUACAAGUGUAGAGGUGAAAUUCGUAGAUAUUUGUAGGAAUGCCGAUGGAGAAGUCAGCUCACUGGAUGAAUACUGACGCUAAAGCGCGAAAGCGUGGGUAGCAAACAGG